This is a long non-coding RNA of Tyto alba (common barn owl), 515 nucleotides long. RefSeq lists it as uncharacterized. The record is from RefSeq and is a predicted model, not a curated record. Lineage: Eukaryota; Metazoa; Chordata; Aves; Strigiformes; Tytonidae. The transcript has 3 exons.
AGACAAGAAUCUGAACUGACUGCUUGAUGCUUAAGAAGGUGAAUAAUGACUUGGAGAAGACCUUGUGCGUAUCUUUUGAUCUUUGGGCUUCAGACACCCCUUCACCCAUAAUUAACUUGUGUGUUGACUGAUCACCUGAGUGAUCAAGGGAGACUCAGUAUGUCAGUGGAAACCAGGAAACUAUUACUCUAUGGCAAAACAGCAAUCAAGCCAACUCGUCUAUGAUACAAAUCAGAUACCUGCAAGAACAAGUCACGUAAUGGCAAGCUGUACUGGAGAUAGAUGAUAUCCUAAAUCAUUAUCUUCGAUAGCAUCAAUUAUGUUUACAGGAGCAAGGUGAAUUUGUGGACUUCCUUCCUUCAAGAUGCUAUCAGGACAAGCCGUGAAGUUGGAUGUCUGAAACAGAUUGAGAUGAUUUUUUAAACAUUGGUACACAAGUAAGCGCUUGCUACCUGGGGGAAGGAGAUCCUCAUCUGUCAGUGGAGACUAUUGAUCCAGGAGGAAGAGUAUGAAGG